This 48-nucleotide unclassified non-coding RNA is filed under the name Brucella sp. 191011898. Its description in RNAcentral is "BASRCI408". The record is from RNAcentral. Lineage: Bacteria; Pseudomonadati; Pseudomonadota; Alphaproteobacteria; Hyphomicrobiales; Brucellaceae.
AGAACGCAUCCCGAAAAGUGUGAAACGGUUUUCGGAAAAGAUGCGUGU